AUGCAGUCGAGCGGUAACAGGGGUAGCUUGCUACCCGCUGACGAGCGGCGGACGGGUGAGUAAUGCAUAGGAAUCUGCCCGAUAGUGGGGGAUAACCUGGGGAAACCCAGGCUAAUACCGCAUACGUCCUACGGGAGAAAGGGGGCUCCGGCUCCCGCUAUUGGAUGAGCCUAUGUCGGAUUAGCUAGUUGGUGAGGUAAUGGCUCACCAAGGCAACGAUCCGUAGCUGGUCUGAGAGGAUGAUCAGCCACAUCGGGACUGAGACACGGCCCGAACUCCUACGGGAGGCAGCAGUGGGGAAUAUUGGACAAUGGGCGAAAGCCUGAUCCAGCCAUGCCGCGUGUGUGAAGAAGGCCUUCGGGUUGUAAAGCACUUUCAGCGAGGAAGAACGCCUAGUGGUUAAUACCCAUUAGGAAAGACAUCACUCGCAGAAGAAGCACCGGCUAACUCCGUGCCAGCAGCCGCGGUAAUACGGAGGGUGCAAGCGUUAAUCGGAAUUACUGGGCGUAAAGCGCGCGUAGGUGGCUUGAUAAGCCGGUUGUGAAAGCCCCGGGCUCAACCUGGGAACGGCAUCCGGAACUGUCAAGCUAGAGUGCAGGAGAGGAAGGUAGAAUUCCCGGUGUAGCGGUGAAAUGCGUAGAGAUCGGGAGGAAUACCAGUGGCGAAGGCGGCCUUCUGGACUGACACUGACACUGAGGUGCGAAAGCGUGGGUAGCAAACAGGAUUAGAUACCCUGGUAGUCCACGCCGUAAACGAUGUCGACCAGCCGUUGGGUGCCUAGCGCACUUUGUGGCGAAGUUAACGCGAUAAGUCGACCGCCUGGGGAGUACGGCCGCAAGGUUAAAACUCAAAUGAAUUGACGGGGGCCCGCACAAGCGGUGGAGCAUGUGGUUUAAUUCGAUGCAACGCGAAGAACCUUACCUACUCUUGACAUCCUGCGAACUUGUGAGAGAUCACUUGGUGCCUUCGGACGCAGAGACAGGUGCUGCAUGGCUGUCGUC
This 1001-nucleotide ribosomal RNA is filed under the name Halomonas campaniensis. Its description in RNAcentral is "bacterial SSU rRNA". It matches the Rfam family "Bacterial small subunit ribosomal RNA", at positions 55 to 1056 of the family's 1533-position model. The record is from RNAcentral. Lineage: Bacteria; Pseudomonadati; Pseudomonadota; Gammaproteobacteria; Oceanospirillales; Halomonadaceae.